AUAGCUAAGUGGUAGAGCUCAUGCUUAGCAUGCAUGAGGUCCUGGGUUCAAUCCCCAGU
Molecule: transfer RNA, 59 nt
Filed under: Camelus bactrianus (Bactrian camel)
Lineage: Eukaryota; Metazoa; Chordata; Mammalia; Artiodactyla; Camelidae
Also listed under: 2 other names
Rfam family: tRNA
About the family: Transfer RNA (tRNA) molecules are approximately 80 nucleotides in length. Their secondary structure includes four short double-helical elements and three loops (D, anti-codon, and T loops). Further hydrogen bonds mediate the characteristic L-shaped molecular structure. tRNAs have two regions of fundamental functional importance: the anti-codon, which is responsible for specific mRNA codon recognition, and the 3' end, to which the tRNAs corresponding amino acid is attached (by aminoacyl-tRNA synthetases). tRNAs cope with the degeneracy of the genetic code in two manners: having more than one tRNA (with a specific anti-codon) for a particular amino acid; and 'wobble' base-pairing, i.e. permitting non-standard base-pairing at the 3rd anti-codon position.
Source: Rfam by way of RNAcentral